AGUGAACGCUGGCGGUAGGCCUAACACAUGCAAGUCGAACGGCAGCACAGUAAGAGCUUGCUCUUACGGGUGGCGAGUGGCGGACGGGUGAGGAAUACAUCGGAAUCUACUUUUUCGUGGGGGAUAACGUAGGGAAACUUACGCUAAUACCGCAUACGACCUACGGGUGAAAUCAGGGGAUCUUCGGACCUUGCGCGAUUGAAUGAGCCGAUGUCGGAUUAGCUAGUUGGCGGGGUAAAGGCCCACCAAGGCGACGAUCCGUAGCUGGACUGAGAGGAUGAUCAGCCAAACUGGAACUGAGACACGGUACAGACUCCUACGGGAGGCAGCAGUGGGGAAUAUUGGACAAUGGGCGCAAGCCUGAUCCAGCCAUACCGCGUGGGUGAAGAAGGCAUUCGGGUUGUAAAGCCCUUUUGUUGGGAAAGAAAAGCAGCAGGUUAAUACCCCGCUGUUCUGACGGUACCCAAAGAAUAAGCACCGGCUAACUUCGUG
RNAcentral lists this ribosomal RNA (492 nucleotides) under uncultured bacterium. Its description in RNAcentral is "partial 16S ribosomal RNA". It matches the Rfam family "Bacterial small subunit ribosomal RNA", at positions 29 to 507 of the family's 1533-position model. The record is from RNAcentral.